AUUGAACGCUGGCGGCACGCUUAACACAUGCAAGUCGAAUGGCAGCAGGAUUGGACGCAAGUUCAAUUGCUGGCGAAUGGCGGACGGGUGAGUAAUGCGUAGGAAUUUAUCCAGAAGAGAGGGCUAACCCGAGGAAACUCGGGCUAAUACCACAUAAUUUCUGAGGAACAAAAGUUGCCGCACACUUAAGCUUAAUUGAGGAUUGAGGAUUGAGGAAGAGAUUGAGUUUAGAUGUGCGGUGAUGCUUUAGGAGGAGCCUACGUUGGAUUAGCUAGUUGGAGAGGUAAAGUCUCCCCAAGGCGACGAUCCAUAGCUGGUCUGAGAGGACGGACAGCCACACUGGGACUGAGACACGGCCCAGACUCUUACGGGAGGCAGCAGUGGGGAAUAUUGGACAAUGGGGGAAACCCUGAUCCAGCGAUGCCGCGUGUGUGAAGAAGGCCCGAGGGUUGUAAAGCACUUUUGCUAGGGAGGAGAGGCUCAUAUUAAAUAGGUAUGAGUUAGGACGUUACCUAGAGAAUAAGCACCGGCUAACUCUGUGCCAGCAGCCGCGGUAAUACAGAGGGUGCAAGCGUUAAUCGGAGUGACUGGGCGUAAAGGGCGAGUAGGCGGUUAAUUAAGUGAGAUGUGAAAAGUCUGGGCUUAACCUAGGAAGUGCAUCUUAGACUGAUUGACUAGAGUUCAGUAGAGGGAGACGGAAUUUCCGGUGUAGCGGUGGAAUGCGUAGAUAUCGGAAAGAACAUCAGUGGCGAAGGCGGUCUUCUGGACAUGAACUGACGCCGAGAAGCGAAAGCGUGGGUAGCGAACAGGAUUAGAUACCCUGGUGGUCCACGCUGUAAACGAUGAAUACUAGCUGUUGGUCUGCGACGACAGACGAGUGGCGAAGCUAACGCGCUAAGUAUUCCGCCUGGGGAGUACGGCCGCAAGGCUAAAACUCAAAGGAAUUGACGGGGGCCCGCACAAGCGGUGGAGCAUGUGGUUUAAUUCGAUGCAACGCGAAAAACCUUACCUACUCUUGACCUUAUACGAAGUGUGCAGAGAUGUAUAUGUGCCCGAAAGGGAAUGUAUAAACAGGUGCUGCAUGGCUGUCGUCAGCUCGUGUCGUGAGAUGUUGGGUUAAGUCCCGAAACGAGCGCAACCCUUAUCCUUAGUUACCAUCACGUAAAGGUGGGGACUCUAAGGAGACUGCUGGUGAUAAGCCGGAGGAAGGUGGGGAUGACGUCAAGUCAUCAUGGCCUAUAUGAGUAGGGCUACACACGUGCUACAAUGGAUAGUACAGAGGGAGGCGAAGUGGCGACACGGAGCGGAACUCAGAAAGCUAUUCGUAGUCCGGAUUGAAGUCUGCAAUUCGACUUCAUGAAGCUGGAAUCGCUAGUAAUCGCAAAUCAGCACGUUGCGGUGAAUACGUUCUCGGGCCUUGUACACACCGCCCGUCACACCAUGGAAGUGGGUUGUACCAGAAGUGGUUAGCUUAACCGCAAGGGGAGCGAUCACCACGGUAUGAUUCAUGACUGGGGUG
Molecule: ribosomal RNA, 1519 nt
Filed under: uncultured bacterium
Lineage: Bacteria
Description: bacterial SSU rRNA
Rfam family: Bacterial small subunit ribosomal RNA
Source: RNAcentral